Molecule: ribosomal RNA, 279 nt
Filed under: uncultured bacterium
Lineage: Bacteria
Description: partial 16S ribosomal RNA
Rfam family: Bacterial small subunit ribosomal RNA
Source: RNAcentral
UGCCAGCCGCCGCGGUAAUACGGAGGGUGCAAGCGUUAAUCGGAAUUACUGGGCGUAAAGCGCGCGUAGGCGGUUUGUUAAGUGAGAUGUGAAAGCCCAGGGCUCAACCUUGGAACUGCAUCUCAUACUGGCAGGCUAGAGUACGGUAGAGGGGGGUAGAAUUCCAUGUGUAGCGGUGAAAUGCGUAGAGAUGUGGAGGAAUACCAGUGGCGAAGGCGGCCCCCUGGAUCGAUACUGACGCUAAGGUGCGAAAGCGUGGGGAGCAAACAGGAUUAGAUA